RNAcentral lists this ribosomal RNA (468 nucleotides) under uncultured bacterium. Its description in RNAcentral is "bacterial SSU rRNA". It matches the Rfam family "Bacterial small subunit ribosomal RNA", at positions 335 to 795 of the family's 1533-position model. The record is from RNAcentral.
ACUCCUACGGGAGGCAGCAGUGGGGAAUUUUGGACAAUGGGGGCAACCCUGAUCCAGCCAUGCCGCGUGCGGGAAGAAGGCCUUCGGGUUGUAAACCGCUUUUAGCCGGGAAGAAAAGGCGAGGGAUAACACCCUUCGUUCUUGACGGUACCGGCGGAAUAAGCACCGGCUAACUACGUGCCAGCAGCCGCGGUAAUACGUAGGGUGCGAGCGUUAAUCGGAAUUACUGGGCGUAAAGCGUGCGCAGGCGGUUCGUUAAGUCUGAUGUGAAAGCCCCGGGCUCAACCUGGGAAUGGCAUUGGAUACUGGCGGGCUGGAGUGUGGCAGAGGGGGGUGGAAUUCCGCGUGUAGCAGUGAAAUGCGUAGAGAUGCGGAGGAACACCGAUGGCGAAGGCAGCCCCCUGGGCUGACACUGACGCUCAGGCACGAAAGCGUGGGGAGCAAACAGGAUUAGAUACCCUGGUAGUC